RNAcentral lists this long non-coding RNA (794 nucleotides) under Mus musculus (house mouse). RNAcentral's name for it is "RIKEN cDNA 2310040G24 gene (2310040G24Rik)". The record is from RNAcentral. Lineage: Eukaryota; Metazoa; Chordata; Mammalia; Rodentia; Muridae.
GCCGUCCCUGGGGAGGGAAGCCAGUGGUUAGCAGACAGGACUUCUGUCUGUCCCUUUACAUGGGCACACAGUAACCAAGCAAUUACAAAGGAUUGUUAAACUGUGCAGCAGAUGGAAGAAGAGGAAGCUAAGGCAGCGUCUCUCCUUACUAAGAAUAAAACUGGAAGCGUGAGAGAGGCUCAGCUAACCAAGUUUCUGCAAGAGGAGGCGUUCAGGGCCCAAGCAGGUCAGCACGUGGUCCAGGUUGGUGCUCCUGUAAGGAGAAAGUCGGGAUGAGUGAGGCCAGAGCCUGCAGGGAGCCCGUCUGGCCAAGAAUCACUAUGGGGUGCUCUGGCUGCGGGUUGGCGGCAGGCAUCUUGCAGGCCUGUGAUGCAAGACCAGGAAACAAAGGGAUUGGGACACCGGUGGCCUCCGUCCUCACUAAAGCUACUUGCUCUCUGGAACUUGAUAGAACCAACACUGGUUUGGAGGAUGAUGCCUGAGAUUCCACCAGCCCUUGGGAGUCGGGCCAGGACUGCUACGAUCUUGUCUCAAAAGAACAACACGGAGACAGUGAGAUGGCUCAGCAGGUACAAGCGGCUGCUCUUGCAUGAGGACCCGAGUUUGAUCUGCAGAUCCCACAGUGAAAGAAGAGCCAAUUCAAGAUUGUCCUCUGACCCCAACUAAAUGUGACUGCCAUACAGGGAGAAGACAGUUCACAGAUCAUAAUAAAACCUAAAAGGAAACCUAUCUACAUUAAGAUAAAGACUAUAAUAAAGAUGAUAUGUCAAGUUGAAAAAAAAAAAAAAAAAAAA